GAGAAUCUGUGCUUACGCCCGUCUUCAUAAAAACACGGCCAAGCCUGCAGUUUAUACUAAUAAUCAACUGAAAGCAGAUUUACAACAUGCAGCAAUGGAUUCUGGGAAAACCCCACCUCCAUGAUAAAGUACUGCUAAAGUAUCUACUGUACAGGUCUGGGUUAUGUACAGUAUGUGUGUGUUUGUGUGCGUGCGUGAGUGUGUGUGUUUGUGUGCGUGCAUGUGUGUUCAUGUUUAGGAGGGUGCCCUGGUUCUCACAUCGGAACGUAACAUAACGGUUCCCACAGAAACUAUGUCACUUCCUGUGCCAUUUCAGCUUCCUGUCUGCAUUGUGGUUUCAAACUGAGGGUUUUUUUUGUUUCCCAGGUGUGUGUGUGUGUGUGUGUGUGUGUGUGUGUGUAGAGAAUAGGCGGUGUUCUUGGUCGGACAGUUUCACAGCUGCUUGCCUACAUUCUGUAAACACAUUUGAAGCACUGCAUUGUGGGUAAAUUCAACAUAAGUUAACAUUUCACUGAGCUGUUGUUUGUGUCAUUAAGAGAAAAUAAGCGUUCACUGUUCAUCCGUUAAAGUGUUUUUUGCCUCUGUUUAAUGUGCGGCUGUGUUCCAAUACUGUUUUUAAUGCGCCCUUGUUGACCUCCCCUUGAUUGAGUCCCCUCUGCCGUCCCCUGUAUCGUUCCUUUAUCACAACACUGCGAGUGAAGCUGUAAAUUUGUGAUUUUUGACUUUUAUAACCCCAAACUUUACAUCUACAUCUGUCCAUGAUAGCUUCCAGCACUGCUUGCUAGUUAGCAAACUGCUAAUCUGAUCAUCUGUGAUGCUAAUGCAGCAAUAUUAGCAUCAUGCUAACCGUAAUCUGAGCUCAUAUUUUACAUUUCAUGUGCUCAUGAACUCGGAGCUGAUCCCAGACUGUAAACAACUGACAGUGACUUGCUAGCUAGUUAGCAAGCUAGGUAAUAUUUAGCAAGAAUCUGAGCGCGUAGACGUCCAAAGAAAUUGGCUCGACGCUCUGUUUGUCCAUGUGAAAAAGGGGGGAGCUUCAGAUCAUUAUCGCUAGCCUUCCUUUAAUUCUUUUGACUUGACGUAAUAUAAAAUUCUGGCUUUAUUAAACGAUAAGCUAGUUUAGGAACAUGAAUUAAGCCUGCUAGCUACUAACAUACAGGACAGUGCUAAUGUUAAACUGUUUUAAACUGAUACAUUGUGUAAAUAAUUAGCUCGUAACUUAGCUAACAUUAGAUAAACUAUUACAUUCUGACCAGAAUUGUAUGUGAAUUAGUUAAGUCAAACUUAAGAAAUGAAAAGAAAGACCACUGGUGAUGUCAUAUGAUGAAGCCUAAACAGUCACUAGUCAAAAUGAGGGGGGUAUUGGGAAAAAAGUAUUAGAACACAGCCUUCUGUAAAGCCGAACUUGUUAAUAGUUUCAACAUUAAAGCUAACAUUAAAACUUUCUUUAGCUACGCUGUGUAUUCAGCUAUCAUCAUUUCCAUUGUUAGCACAGUUUAGCUUCUGUUUCUGCUUCUGUUUAUGAAUGUGAAUGUACAUUAAAGGUAUAUGGAUCUGCAGGACAGUCUGUUUACCUGCUCUGUUAAAAAAAA
This is a long non-coding RNA of Ictalurus punctatus (channel catfish), 1592 nucleotides long. The record is from Ensembl. NCBI's taxonomy places the organism in Eukaryota, Metazoa, Chordata, Actinopteri, Siluriformes, Ictaluridae.